AAAGGCGAGGGGUGUGAGGCUCCACAAUAAUUGGCAUCAAAUGCUGCCUUAUUGGGAUUCUCACUGUUGCUGAAUUCCAAGAUCUGCAACAACACACUACAACAAAACCUGGAAAAUUAAAUUCAUAAUUUUCUCACACACCAACGCAUACAUUCACUCUCUCUUUCUCUCUCUUCCCCCACCCACCUUUUUGCCCCCCUUCUUCGCCUUCCCAUUGGCAGAUACCCUUCUUUCUCCAUUCUCUCUCCUCAAUUCACAAUAAAGCAACACACUUUAAAGUAGUAGCGUUGGUGGUGCUUGGGUUUUUUGUUUUGUUUUGUGGGUAUUUUAAUUUUUCCAGGAAGAUAAAAAAGAUAUCUCAUAAACCCUCUUCAAUUAGGGCUCUUACUAUUUUCACCCUUUUCAAUUUUUCUAGAGGUGUAGAGUUCACGCAAUGUGAGUAUGUGACAUUUGAAAGUACGAUUCUUUUGCGGGCGUAGUUCUUUGUGAAUUUUGUGAUUGGAGCCAGUAGAGAUGGCAGCAGAGUCUAAUACAAGCUUUCAUCAGGAAGACGCCAUAGCUGCUAGUUUGCAUCGACAUGCUAUAUCGUUUCAGUCGGGGGCAGUAAAUAGCACGUCGGAGAUGAUCCCGAUUGGUAACUAUUAUGGGAUGAAUAAUAGUAAUGGAAAUCUAAUGUUUUGCGACAAUUCUAGCAUCAUUAGUAGUAGCAGUCCCACCACAACUCCUGUUGGCAGUUCAUCUGGUACUCUUCUUUUGGAUUCGGUGCCUGGGCUAAAGCACGAUGCUGGCCUCGCUGUUGAGUGGACAGAGGAAGAGCAGUACAAAUUGGAAGAUGGCCUUGUCAAGUAUAAGGAUGAGCCUAGUAUCUUGAAGUACAUCAAAAUUGCAGCUCUUUUGCGAGACAAAACUGUACGUGAUGUUGCUCUCAGAUGUCGGUGGAUGACGAGAAAGCGGAGAAAACAAGAAGAAUCACACUUAGGAAGGAAGGGAAAUUACAGAAAGGAUAAAUUCGUGGAAUCAUCUUCAAAGACUAAUUUACCAUCACCGUCAAUAUCUAACAUGAACAUGACUCCAUAUUCUUUUCAGCCGAAUCAGAUGGAUCAUAAUCAGCGUGUAAAAUGCCAAGUGUUGACCGGGAAAGCUAAGCAUCUAUUGGAGCAGAAUAUUCAAGCCUUAAAUCAUAUUAACAGUAAUAUAUCAUUGCUGAAGUUGCAGGAUAACAUUGAUCUCUUUUGUCGUACUAGAGACAACAUUAACAAUAUCAAUGCCAUCCUGAAUGACAUGAAAGAGCUUUCAGGAAAACUUGGCCAGAUGCAAGAGCUUCCAAUAUCUAUUGAUCAGAAUCUUGCAAAUAGUAUCUUGCCGCGUGACAAUUCGUAGUAAUGAAGAAUGCUGCCAUCUAAUGCUGAUCUCAUGCAAUCUUCUUUCCUUUCAUAUUUCACCCUUAGACAAUGAUGUUUGGAAUGCAUAGAGGAUUGCAACCCAAGCUGGAGUCAAGAUGUUGAUAGAGGAUUCGCAGGAGUAUUGGGUGAAGAUCUGAACUACAAGUACAGAAGCUUUUGCUGUAAAUUUAGUUAGGACCUUCUUUAUGUUGUGUACGAUUCAGUUGCAUAUAUUGGGUCUGUGUGUAGAGAACACAAUUUUGAACCUGCCGGUUGACAUCAGAAGAAAAUGGAAUCUGGGCAUCACGUCACAUCAUGAAAUUGCAGAGGUUGCCGACUACUUAAGAAGAACACGUGUCUCAGAGCACUGGCCAUCCAUUCUGUCUCUUGAUCUGGAGCUGAACUGUGUAUAGGAUGAUGUCACUGAAAAGUAUUAAGUAACGAAAAUAACAGGCUAGGGUUGCCAUUUACACUUAUAACCCUGUUCUUACCCCCAAUAGGUCAGUGUGAUGGUAGUUGCUAGGUCUCGAACAAGGAUGAUUCUGUAGCUUUCGUUUGAGCAUUUCGCCCUAAGAAGCUCUAUUUUAAUUUUAUUGUGUAUUAUGGUGGAUGAGUAGAACUAAUUUCUCCAUCUUUGUGCUGCUGCCAAAGACAAGACAUUGUUGUAGAAGUUGUACUGAUCUGAUAUUUAUUUUUUUUCUACAUUGUAAUCUAAUUUUCUCACUGAAUUGGCCGAAAAGUUAUCAAUUAGCUGUUCAAAUGUUGAUAUUAGAACAAUUGUUUUUGCAAGUUUA
This is an RNA transcript of Chenopodium quinoa (quinoa), 2176 nucleotides long. RefSeq lists it as uncharacterized. NCBI's taxonomy places the organism in Eukaryota, Viridiplantae, Streptophyta, Magnoliopsida, Caryophyllales, Amaranthaceae. The record is from RefSeq and is a predicted model, not a curated record. The transcript is spliced from 10 exons.